Molecule: long non-coding RNA, 1702 nt
Organism: Sapajus apella (tufted capuchin)
Lineage: Eukaryota; Metazoa; Chordata; Mammalia; Primates; Cebidae
Exons: 4
Source: RefSeq, a predicted model, not a curated record
CAAUCCUCUGGCCUCAGCCUCCCGAGUGGAAUAACAGACUUUCACUAGGAUUCCUGUGUGCUAACCGGAGAAUGUCUUCAACAUUGAACUCGAUUCAGAAACACUUGGAGCAGGGCCGCUUGAAAUUUUAAAAGGGUCACAAAUCCAUACAAGGAAUGAAAUCAACAAUCUGUGUUCUCCAGGCUGAGGACAACAGCUGCCGAGAACAACUGAUCUGCACCGUGACAAGGACUGAAUCUGCCGGGGAUUAGGAGAAAAGAACAUAAAAGGACAAGAGGCUUUUAAGAAGGAUGAUUUGGCAGACAACAUGACUAUCUGGUACUUUGUUCUGUGCUGGAGGUUAAGCAGCUUUGACACUUUCUGUGGCACUGACUCUAAGGGAGAACCAAGAAUUUGCUACUGCUACAUGCUGUUACGUAACGCAUCACAGAGUUCUUUCUGAGCAACCCAGGGUUACCCACAGGACAGCCAUGACCAGGUAUUCCACCAAACGAGCCCAGGAACAUAUUUCUGUCCAAACAACUUCUGUCAAGAAAAGAUUCUUGGAUGGAAUAAGAUUGUAGAAGAAACUUCUGCAAGUGAUUUUAGAACUGCCAGCUCUGAACUAGCUUUCCCAGCCUUAACAUUCUGCCUAGGUCCUGCUCACACGAGCCAAACUCUGCAUUGCUUUGCUCCAAUCCUACAGAACAGCUCAGAAUGUCUUGCUUUCCUUUGCAUCAGAGGGAGUAUCUGCACAAAGCAUACCUUGAGUCUUAAAGGCAUAAAAUAAAUGGCUUAUUUUUGGCAACCUUUGUAUUUUGUAUCUGUUUAAAUAGUUAUGAUUCUCCAAUAUCUUUCCUUUUGUAUAGAAAGGGCCAGUUGACAAGGCCUAUGAAUGGCACAGAGACCUCACACACAGGAGGCUUUGAUUUUUCCACUCACCCUGUGUUUAUUCAAUGAGAAAGACCAUGGGAUGGAAGAGGAAUCUGGGUUGGAAUCUGCUUCUUCCAGUUACUACGUGAAAAAACUGACCUCUUACUAAGCUCUUUAGAGCUUCCACUGGUUGUUAUAUUGACAUGUAAAGCUGACCUCUGAAACAAUCUACCUAAAGAGCUUACAUGAUUGUGGGGUAGAACACCUGCUUAGUAGACAGGUCUUGGCAUUAUAUUAUGUGCUUGUAACAAUCGUUUGGCAAACACAGUUAAUUUAUUAGAAUGUUGUAUUACUAUCUUUUCUUAUUGAUGCUGUUCUGUGUUACUAAAUUAUGGGUGAUUCUAUCCUGUUUUUGGAUUUUUUUUAAAGUAUGCUAACAUCUAUAGAGUACUGACUUUAAUCCCAGACACUUCAGUAAGUGAUUAAGACAAUAAAUUAUAACUCUUAUAAGAUUUCCACUAAUCCUCUCAAGUAGUAUCAAUACCUCCAUUAAACUGAGAUCUACAGAUGUUGAGCAACUUUCCUCAGAUCACACAGCUAGAAAGUGCUACAACCACAAUAGAACAAUCUAUAUCUGGGUCAAACAUCGUGCUGUAUGCAAUGGGUUUUUAACCACCAUUUUCUCUCUUUUUUUCUAAGGUCUUUUAUUCAUUCUACAGCCACUUAGUGACUUUCUUCAAUAUCCAAGGUAGCGUUUUUCCUGUAUGCCAUUGAGUUAUUUCAAGGACCACGUGACUUUUGUCUAGUAAGUUGUAAUUUUUUUCUCCAUAAUAAAAGCAGUUUUAACCGA